AUGAACUUUGGGUUUCGUGUGAAAGAGUAGGAAAAUCGAUAUUGUAAGGCCUCAUUUGUUAAAGCGUGGUGUGAACUGUGUCAAGAUUCAGAAACCUGCAUGAGAGAUAAAGUCCUUGAAGAUGAAGGUGAAUCAGAGAGAUCAGAGAUGUUAAGAGAGACACCGGGGUUUCUGAUAAGCCCCCGGAAGGGAUAAGGCGAGGCACGUACGACACGAGAGGUACGAAAGGCACGGAAGGCACGGUAGAAAAGUGACACGACACACCCCGGGAUUGCUCUGUCCUGCGCACCUCAGCACUGUGAGCCAAAGUCUUGGACUUCGACUUAGCUCUCAUAUGCGUGGGGACGAGAAGCCACGUGGGGCACAAGGGAAGGCCGCCUCACCGUCUGGCACGUUUCUGGCAGGCUGUUGUCUCUUGGACAGGUACAAUAAAGAAAACCAAAUAUCAGUGCAAGAUCUUAGCAGCACAUCUGUGAAAACCCAACACUCACGGUCUCCUGACAAUGGCUGGGUCCUUCGCCUGCAUGCUUCAGCCCCGCUGGGAUGCUGAGGCUUGCGGAGCGAAACUCUUCAAGCGGUAUUGCUGUGGAUCCGA
Long non-coding RNA from Poecile atricapillus (Black-capped chickadee), 595 nucleotides. RefSeq lists it as uncharacterized. The transcript is spliced from 3 exons. The record is from RefSeq and is a predicted model, not a curated record. Lineage: Eukaryota; Metazoa; Chordata; Aves; Passeriformes; Paridae.